This is a long non-coding RNA of Helianthus annuus (common sunflower), 1827 nucleotides long. RefSeq lists it as uncharacterized. The record is from RefSeq and is a predicted model, not a curated record. The transcript has 2 exons. NCBI's taxonomy places the organism in Eukaryota, Viridiplantae, Streptophyta, Magnoliopsida, Asterales, Asteraceae.
ACCUGGGCGUGUGUUCGAUCAGAAGAAGAGAAAGAAAGGGGUCAAACCCUAGAACACCAAAAUCUAUCAAAUAGAAAGGGGAAUUGAAGCCUAGUUGAAUGCAUGAACUAAGAAUGGCGAUCAUCUAAGCAUACCGAACAUCAAGAGUCAUUUAAAUAGAGGCACAAAUAUGGAAGCGCUACGGGUCGAAGGUAAACACGGCAGCUAUGUGUAAAUUCGGACGCACGAGGUAAGUAAACUCCUCGACUCCUUCCUUAGUAGUAAAAGAGGUUAUUUGUAUGAUAAAUGUUAGCAAUUAUGCAAGAUGCUUUAUUGACAUUGGUAACAAGUAAGGAGCGUUAAGGACGUGAUUUCUGAAUCACUUCCUACACCAUUUUAGGAAGGCUAUAUGCGAGUCACUUAAGUAUGGUAAUCUAAGUUUAUUUAGGAUUCGGUUACUGGAGGUGAUGGUAUUCGCUAAGAAGACCGAACGGGUUAAAAUAAGAGUAUAUUAGUGUAGUUUUUAUGCAUAUAAAGAUGUGAAAACAAUGCAGAAUUUUCAUGUUAAUUGUUGUUAAAAUAGUGCAGUUUUUAUGCACUUUGAGCUGCCAAAACAAUGCAGAAUUUUCAUGUUAAUUGUUGUUAAAAUAGUGCAGUUUUUAUGCACUUUGAGCUGCCAAAACAAUGCAGAAUUUUCAUGUUAAUUGUUGUUAAAAUAGUGCAGUUUUUAUGCACUUUGAGCUGCCAAAAUUGUGCAGAAUUUUCAUGUUAGUGCAGUUUUUAUGCACUUUGAGCUGCCAAAAUAGUGCAGAAUUUUCAUGUUAAUUGUUGUUAAAAGAGUGCAGUUUUUAUGCAUUUUGAGCUGCCAAAAUAGUGCAGAAUUUUCAUGUUAAUUGUUGUUAAAAUAGUGCAGUUUUUAUGCAUUUUGAGCUGCCAAAAUAGUGCAGAAUUGUCAUGUUUAUUGUUGUUAAAAUAGUGCAGUUUUUAUGCAUUUUGAGCUGCCAAAAUAGUGCAGAAUUGUGCUGUUUAUUGUUGUUAAAGUAGUGCAGUUUUUAUGCAUUUUGAGCUGCCAAAAUAGUGCAGAAUUGUGCUGUGUAUUGCUAUUAAAAUAGUGCAGUUUUUAUGCAUAUCGAGCUGUUAAAAUAGUGUAGAAUUGUGCAGUUUAUAAUGUAUGUACGUGGUCUAUUUGUAUGGAAGCUUGUAAUCAGCAUACCUUAGUAAACGUUGGGAUGAUUUAAGUGAUUUAUAAGGGUUGUACGUUUGUACGUGGGUAUGUAAUCACGCGUGGAAGUUCACGUCUAUGAAUAGAUACGUGUUUGUGCUUGCGUUUGAAGUAGGAUUCAUUGCUUAUGAGCGAACGGAACUUGGGUAUGUGUUCGUACAACUUAAAUAAGUGGAAGCGUUAAGUUACUAAACCGUUGACUUGAGUAUGAAAAGGUGAUUGCAGGUACUCUAUUAAUGUCUUUACCAAGGUUAAGGAAUUGAAGUGCACGAAUGUAAAUGGAAAGCACAUUCGUAAGGAUCAGUAUGGGAAGAAGGAACGCGGACUGGUUAUUGGUCAUGUGUGUUUAGUUUAGGAAUGAUGUCAUUAAAUCUAACCGAUGUACAUGUAUGUGGUGAAUGCAGGUUGCGUGGAUUUAGCAUCAUUAUGAAGGAUAGAAAGAUUGAAGAUCGAGUCAAGAGCAAAGGAUUGUACGGGAAGGAUCGGUCACAUAGUUUAACAAAUGUAGGUCCGAAGUAUUAAUGUAAUGGAACAUGGUAAAUCCUUUUUAAUGAGUGUAUGACAUUUGGUAUUCAAACUUUCCUGUAAGUACUUUGUCUAUUAAAGAACGAAAUUUUGGGUUCAUA